AUUGAACGCUGGCGGCAUGCCUUACACAUGCAAGUCGAACGGUAACAGGUCUUCGGAUGCUGACGAGUGGCGAACGGGUGAGUAAUACAUCGGAACGUGCCUAGUAGUGGGGGAUAACUACUCGAAAGAGUGGCUAAUACCGCAUGAGAUCUACGGAUGAAAGCAGGGGAUCGCAAGACCUUGUGCUACUAGAGCGGCCGAUGGCAGAUUAGGUAGUUGGUGGGAUAAAAGCUUACCAAGCCGACGAUCUGUAGCUGGUCUGAGAGGACGAUCAGCCACACUGGGACUGAGAGACGGCCCAGACUCCUACGGGAGGCAGCAGUGGGGAAUUUUGGACAAUGGGCGCAAGCCUGAUCCAGCAAUGCCGCGUGCAGGAUGAAGGCCUUCGGGUUGUAAACUGCUUUUGUACGGAACGAAAAGCCCUGGGUUAAUACCCUGGGGUCAUGACGGUACCGUAAGAAUAAGCACCGGCUAACUACGUGCCAGCAGCCGCUGUAA
This 498-nucleotide ribosomal RNA is filed under the name uncultured bacterium. Its description in RNAcentral is "partial 16S ribosomal RNA". It matches the Rfam family "Bacterial small subunit ribosomal RNA", at positions 30 to 523 of the family's 1533-position model. The record is from RNAcentral.